RNAcentral lists this ribosomal RNA (305 nucleotides) under uncultured bacterium. RNAcentral describes it as "bacterial SSU rRNA". It matches the Rfam family "Bacterial small subunit ribosomal RNA", at positions 334 to 656 of the family's 1533-position model. The record is from RNAcentral.
UGCUCCUACGGGGGGCAGCAGUGGGGGAUAUUGCACAAUGGGGGAAACCCUGAUGCAGCGACGCCGCGUGAGUGAAGAAGUAUUUCGGUACGUAAAGCUCUAUCAGCAGGGAAGAAUAAUGACGGUACCUGACUAAGAAGCCCCGGCUAACUACGUGCCAGCAGCCGCGGUAAUACGUAGGGGGCAAGCGUUAUCCGGAUUUAUUGGGUUUAAAGGGUGCGCAGGCGGCGAGUUAAGUCAGCGGUAAACUUUCGGGGCUCAACCCCGACGAGCCGUUGAAACUGGCUUGCUAUAGUGGGCGAGAA